Lolium rigidum is the source of this 2105-nucleotide long non-coding RNA. RefSeq lists it as uncharacterized. The transcript is spliced from 3 exons. The record is from RefSeq and is a predicted model, not a curated record. Lineage: Eukaryota; Viridiplantae; Streptophyta; Magnoliopsida; Poales; Poaceae.
UGAACCGCAAAUCUGGCAUAAGCUUGAUGUAGCCAUGCCCCUGCGAUGCAUGUUUACCUGUGUUGCUACAGCGUUGCAGGAAACCUUCCACGCCAGAAGCUUUGACCUUUGGAGGUACAGGACAAUCCCAGAUAAGCUUCCACGCCGGUCUUUCGCCAUCCGGCAUGCAACUCGUUGCACCACGGUCUGGAUCCUGCAUGAGACAGUUCAGGCCAAGGCGAUAAGCGCUCUUUACAGUGAAAUUACCUCGUUUUUCUGGAAACCAAGCAACGAAGUCGUCGUCAUUGCGUUGUGAGGGUUGGAUCUUUAGAAUUUCUGUUAUGUUUUCCUCUGUAAAGUACUGCUCUAAACGCUGUAGGUUCCAGGCUGGUAGCAGAAAAUCUGCAACCCAGCGGUACCUACAUCGUCCUUGGCUUGAUCGCGGGAGGUGGUUCGGUUCCCUGGGUAUCCAGGGAUCCCGCCAUGCACAUAUCUUCGACCCAUGAAUUUGCAAUGGUAAAUAAAUAAACACCAGCGUUAGAUUUGUUAACAUUCAAUUGGAAAGGAUCGAUGCUAUCAAAAUCUUCCACAUUUUAGUGCUCACACUACUGUGGUGUGAAUGCUAUUGGCAGGACCUGUCAUCAAUCACAAGCAUCAUCCUUAAUGUGGACCAUUCUGUGUACACCAAAUUUGACUUCUCUACCAUGGAUACUGGCUGGAACUGUCUUGCUCGCCUACUGCAGUUGCUCCCUGGACCCUAACUUGAAGUCUUCAAGUGUGGAAGACUAAUCUACUCUGUUUGGUCUAGAUCUAAAUCUGGAGGUCUUUAAAGGUCAAGGGAUCCCCAGCGAUGCAGGUCAAUAAUGUGAGGACUGAGGAUGGCGAGAUGAGGAAAAAGACGGGUGAGAUGACGGUGAGCCUUGGCCACCGCCCCGAUUCACCGCCGCUGCCGCUACUGCUGGAAGUCGACCACCUGCUGGAGGAGAUCCUCCUCCGCCUCCACCCACUGCCGUCAUCCCUCCCGCGAGCCUCCCUCGUCUCCCAUCGCUGGCACCGUCUUGUCUCCGAUCCCGGAUUCUUCCGCCGCUUCCGCCUCCACCACCGCCGGAAUCCUCCACACCUAGGCUUCUUCGAUGUGGAUUCCCACGACCUCUACUUUGUACCAGCCCUGGAUGCCCCUAAUCGUGUCCCGCCUGGGCGAUUCUCCUUGCAGUUCAACGAAGGUGACAAGUUCCAUCUCCUCGGAUCUCGCCAUGGCCUCGUACUCGUCCUCCAACCACCAUAGAAGCAGCUCUUGGUGUGGGAUCCAAUCACUGCUGACCAACACCACAUUAACCUUCCCCCAGGGUUUGCAGGACCUGUGUUCGCGAUCCAUGGAGCUGUACUUCGCGAUGUCGUAGAUGCUCAACACUUCCAGGUGGUCUUGGUAGAUGUAGAAGCCGAAGACCCUCAUCAUAGCCGAGUGCUCGCCUGUGUUUAUUCAUCGGAGACCGGCGUAUGGGGUGAUCUCAUCUCGGCACCGCUUCCGCCCAUGGUUCCUUCGAGUAACCGUGUUGUCUUUGUUUAUCCAACCAAGCCGGCUGUGCUGGUUGAGAAUUCCCUUUACUGGAUCCUUGAUGGGGAUUUGGUUGGUAUUCUUGAGUUUGAUUUAGAGAGGAAGAGCAUAGCUGUGAUAUAGCCGCCAGUAGAUGUGCUUACCAAGAGUAAAUAUCAAUAUACAGUUGUGCGGACUGAGGGUGGUGGGCUUGGUUUCCUCUUUGUGUCAAGAUCACAAUACAACGCACAAUUAUGGAAAAGGAAGACCAAUCUCGAUGGUGUUGCGUCCUGGGUGCUGGAAAGAACUAUUGAACUGGAGAAACUACUUUCCCUGAAUUCUGGGGCAAGAGUGAACCUGUCCGUAAGAGGGUUUGCUGAGGACAAUAAUGUGCUCUUCCUGGGGACACCUAUUGGCGUAUUCAUGAUCCAUAUUGAGUCACUGCAGUUCAAGAAACUUCCGGACCACACGUUGGUUUCUUGCAAUCAUUCAUUUGAAAGUGUCUAUGCAGCAGGUACCUGAGUUACAUUGGGGUGACUAAGACGCAGAGAGAGUUUUUGGGUGUAGUUUCUUCCAUUCAUAUGCUGGACGC